Mobula hypostoma (lesser devil ray) is the source of this 1774-nucleotide long non-coding RNA. RefSeq lists it as uncharacterized. The transcript has 3 exons. The record is from RefSeq and is a predicted model, not a curated record. NCBI's taxonomy places the organism in Eukaryota, Metazoa, Chordata, Chondrichthyes, Myliobatiformes, Myliobatidae.
GGAAGUUUAUAGUCUCCGGCUUUCUGCCGUUCGGCGCAGGAGCAUUUGCAAAGUCACCAAAGGUACUACGAGCCAAUGUCAUCUGGCCGGCACACAAGGAAGAUCAGCACCUGAAAUGGAACACCAGUCCAACACUAUUUUGACUGUUCUUUCAUUGACAUUAGAUCUACAUUCUGGAAGUCCUAAUCCAAACACAUUGUGGAAUAUCCAUCAGAUGGGUCAGCAAGUUACCAUGGUUUUUCACUCCCUACCUAACGAACAAUGAGAUGACAAAAUGUGGCAGUGAAGAUCACAGAAGUUCUAAGCAGGAUGGUACGACCAGCUAAUCAAUGGAGCUUAGAAAAAUAGAGAGCUCUCGGUAACCCUAGGUAAUUUCUGAAGUACAAAGUACACGCUUGGCACAGCAUUGUGGGCUGAAAGGGCUGUAUUGUGCUGUAGGUUUUCUAUAUUUCUAAUGGCAGAGAAAGAUCAAUGUGGAGAAAUGAGAUCGACGGUAGAAUGACGACACACAAUAUAGAAUACAGGACACUGUUCUAAAAGGGGUCCAGCAACAGGAGUAAGGAUGCACAAGUUAUUUAAAACUAGCAGGGCUGUUAAUAAGGCAAAAGAUGGGCUGAAUAACCUUCCACUACUCUGAUUCUAAUUAAAUCUGGCACCUGUACUAUUCCCUCAGAUACAUCUCAUGGUCCUGUGUGAUUCAAUUGAGUUUGAGGCCUGCGAGGUUCACUAUAUGAAUAGCUUUUGAUCCACUUAAAUGUCAAUGAUAGAUGAAAUUAAAACUGUCAAAAUGAGUUAAAAAUAUAUCAAUUGAAUUAUUAAAAAUUAACAUUAAGAUCACAAAAAUUUACAGUUUUAUAGUUAAAGUCAGCAAGUGCAUUCUAAUGAGGAGAGCCAUGCCUAUACAGCAGCCAACCCUGCUAUAAAUGAGAGGGGUUAGAUGCAGGCUAGGACAUUGCUCUCUGCUUCUGGAUUCAUUUCAAAGUCCAGUGAUGGAGCAAGCCCUCUGGAAGAGCCAGUAUUUGACCGCAAGCCCAUUCACGACUUUUGCAUUGUAAUAUGCAGAUGUCCAAACUAAGUAUGAGCUCACACUGGACCUUUCGUUAAAGAGCAGCACGAUAAGACCAGUGUGAGAGAGGUUUUAAUGCUUUGAAAUAUAGGAAGACUGGUCUGAAAAAUAGUAACCGAAUCUCAAGAUGAAGAGAAACUACUUCCAGCAUGUUGGAUUUUCUACCAGGUGAGGCCAGACAGAUUCAUUGAAUUGGAUUUUUUUUUUGUUUGAGGACUAACAAGGUGAAAAGUUGGAGAGAGAAAGCUGGAUCAGCAAAUUGAAUUUGAAAGAUUUGCUAUGAUUAGUGAAUUAUUUAUUGAUUAGUGAAGUAGGCUAACAGGGCCAAAUGGAUUUCUCUUGCUCCUAUUUUUCUAAUUUUCUGAUGACUCUUUGGUUAGGUUAAUCAGUGUGAGACAGCUGAAAGAGCGAAAAUUAAAAAGAUCCAGAAAGAUGUGUCGAAGAUUAAAAUCAUACUCAACCAGUUUAGGGUUUCACACCUAUGAAUAUACCAUUUUCCCCAUAAUAAAUGCUUUAUUCACCACCAUCUCAUCUUAUGUUGUCACGUGAAUAAGUAAAAUAUUGAACUCCAUACAAAUGGAAUACCCAAGGUUAAUUCUGUUAAGCUACACUCACAGGAAUCAGCCUGUACUUGAAGGAUACACAUGAAGCAAAAUUAUUAGCAUUGUGAAGUGGACUUUGUUAUAUUGGAAAAACUGGGAACUGCUU